Sander lucioperca (pikeperch) is the source of this 755-nucleotide long non-coding RNA. RefSeq lists it as uncharacterized. NCBI's taxonomy places the organism in Eukaryota, Metazoa, Chordata, Actinopteri, Perciformes, Percidae. The record is from RefSeq and is a predicted model, not a curated record. The transcript has 2 exons.
UCCUCCUGCAAUGGGAAGCAUCAAUAGUAUAUUAUAAUGUUUCCAUGGUUUGUACAUAUCCCUGCAGCACACAUGAAUAGUGUUAACCUCCUCUAGAAAAAAAGAUGUAGCCAUUAUAAGUAUUUCUUUUCCUGGGUGCUUCUUUAUUUGAAUGAAAAAUCCACUGCAGAGGGUCUUGAGAUUGUGACUUCAUUGUCAUUCUCUGUGCAGCUCUGCAUAACGUUAUGGGCCGGCAGCCAGCGACAGACAGUGUAUUUAACUGUAUUGCAGGACUAAUGCACUUGUCCAUUUAACUUCACCAACAGUGUGGAGGACAAAAAUAUUUAACGUACACUUCACAGAAGCUAAAGUGAUUUCUGUGUGCUUUUCACACAUUAAAGCAAAAACUGUUAAUUUGUGAAAAGGUAUGUGCACUCGCAAUUAUCAUAUUGUGGUUCAUUCAGUACAGUAUUGUUGGUAUGUCGUAUUAGCUGUCUAAACCUGCCUAUAUGUGUAUGUAAAAGUUUAAAUAUGUCUUGCAAAUGUCUCGCCUUGUGUUGCUGCAGUCGGUUGUCUUCUGUCUUGUCGUCCAUACGGCUGAGAGAGAUCCCAGUGCUGGAGAGAGAGGACACUGCACUGGACAAGGUGCUGGAUCUUAAGGUUUGGUUGACCAGCAUGCACACAUCAGCCUUGGAUCAUGCAAGCGAGUCCACAGCGGGACUGACAGGUCAGGGCAGAGCAGAGCAUCGUCACUGCAGGGCUCCAGAGUAGAAACA